Molecule: non-coding RNA, 108 nt
Organism: Capsicum annuum
Lineage: Eukaryota; Viridiplantae; Streptophyta; Magnoliopsida; Solanales; Solanaceae
Source: Rfam
UUGCUGGUGAUGUGGGAAAUCUCUGAGGAUACCUUUGAAUCUUUCACACACUAUUUAUAAAUUCUCCUCAAGCUUCUGCUUAAAACUCAAUAUUUAACUUCUUAGCCU